UGGAGAUCGACCAGAUCAGGUGU
Molecule: unclassified non-coding RNA, 23 nt
Filed under: Mus musculus (house mouse)
Lineage: Eukaryota; Metazoa; Chordata; Mammalia; Rodentia; Muridae
Description: oocyte_clustered_small_RNA976
Source: RNAcentral